GUGUCAGCAGCCGCGGUAAAACGUAGGAGGCAAGCGUUAUCCGGAUUUACUGGGCGUAAAGCGCGUGCAGGCGGUUUGGAAAGUUGGAUGUGAAAGCUCCUGGCUUAACUGGGAGAGGUCGUUCAAUACUACCAGACUUGAGGAUAGUAGAGGGAGAUGGAAUUCCGGGUGUAGUGGUGAAAUGCGUAGAUAUCCGGAGGAACACCAGUGGCGAAAGCGGUCUCCUGGACUAUUUCUGACGCUCAGACGCGAAAGCUAGGGUAGCAAACGGGAUUAGAGACCCCGGUAGUCCUAGCUGUAAACGAUGUAGACUUGGCGUCGGCGGGUUUAAAUCCGUCGGUGUCGAAGCUAACGCGAUAAGUCUACCGCCUGGGGACUACGGCCGCAAGGUUAAA
Molecule: ribosomal RNA, 395 nt
Filed under: uncultured bacterium
Lineage: Bacteria
Description: bacterial SSU rRNA
Rfam family: Bacterial small subunit ribosomal RNA
Source: RNAcentral